Molecule: long non-coding RNA, 445 nt
Organism: Pantherophis guttatus
Lineage: Eukaryota; Metazoa; Chordata; Lepidosauria; Squamata; Colubridae
Source: RefSeq, a predicted model, not a curated record
UUUUUAACAUGUUUUAUUCCAUUGGUAUUCCAAUGGUAUGAGGCUUGGUGUCAUCAAUAUAUGGAUUAUAACCAGCUUCACAUCUUAAUCCUGGGAAAUGCUAUGCUAGAAGUGCUGAUCCAAAGCCUGGAAGUUAUCAGGUUCUUGAUGGAGAAGAACAUACGCCAAUGGAAUCCCUCCAAAUCUGUGUUGCUUUGGGUUCAUGGAUCUAACAAUUCCAGGAAAAUACUGAAGACUUACCUGUUCUGCGUGGCACAGGAAGAUGGUAUAUUAUAACUGAAGGCAUUGGUUUCUUACCUUCUGAAGAAGACAUCAUUUGCUCCAAUAGUGUGGACUAUCCCAGCCUACUCUCCACUCCUCCUCUUUAAGGAAGAUUUUAGAGGAAGUGAUUGGAUUUCAAUUGCAGAAAAUUUUAGAUGAAGAGGAUGAUUUUGAUCUCUUCUAG